Molecule: long non-coding RNA, 252 nt
Filed under: Ananas comosus (pineapple)
Lineage: Eukaryota; Viridiplantae; Streptophyta; Magnoliopsida; Poales; Bromeliaceae
Description: long non-coding RNA (ACOM_LNC033327)
Source: RNAcentral
AUCAAACAACAUAACACAUCCUAUAUUAUUACAUUCAUUCAUAUUCAUGUAUUUUACAUCUCAACUACCAUUCCUUUUUCACCCAAAUGCAAUCUAAAUUAUUACAACAUUUAUAUCUUUAAUACAUCAUGUUACAUUGUGUUCUUUUCAUUUCUUUAACCCCUAAGCUAUGUCGACGGGGUAUUGCUAGCUCUGGUCUCUGGGGUAGGGCGCUAUCUAUGAUGCUACGCCCUCGCUUCGCUCCGCCGCGCC